AUGUACAUUCCUACAGCAUAGCGUUAAUGCACCGGAUCCCAUUACAACUCUGCAAUUAAGCGUGCUUGGGCUAGAGUAGUACUGGGAUGGGUAACCACCUGGGAAGUCCUAUUGUUUUACAUG
This is a non-coding RNA of Picea glauca (white spruce), 123 nucleotides long. The record is from Rfam. NCBI's taxonomy places the organism in Eukaryota, Viridiplantae, Streptophyta, Pinopsida, Pinales, Pinaceae.